This 72-nucleotide transfer RNA is filed under the name Actinomycetota bacterium. RNAcentral's name for it is "tRNA-Gln". It matches the Rfam family "tRNA". Rfam says of the family: Transfer RNA (tRNA) molecules are approximately 80 nucleotides in length. The record is from RNAcentral. Lineage: Bacteria; Bacillati; Actinomycetota. RNAcentral also lists the same sequence under 1 other name.
UGCCCCGUGGGGUAAUUGGCAGCCCGCAGGUUUUUGGUACCUGAAGUUCUGGUUCGAGUCCAGGCGGGGCAG